Molecule: transfer RNA, 61 nt
Filed under: uncultured Parolsenella sp.
Lineage: Bacteria; Bacillati; Actinomycetota; Coriobacteriia; Coriobacteriales; Atopobiaceae
Rfam family: tRNA
About the family: Transfer RNA (tRNA) molecules are approximately 80 nucleotides in length. Their secondary structure includes four short double-helical elements and three loops (D, anti-codon, and T loops).
Source: RNAcentral
GAUAGCUCAAUGGUAGAGCCCUCGGCUGUUAACCGAGUUGUUGUAGGUUCGAGUCCUACUC